AUUUGGGAAAGAGAGAACCAGGUCAUGGUUAUUGAAAGUGCUUGAGUGAAAUACAAAAGCUUUUCUAAAAUGCAAAGUGGUUUUGCACCAUCCCCCACAUAUCUCACCUUGGCGUCUCCUGCUCCUUAGGAACCAGGUAAGAGCGGUUCAGACUGCCCUUUCUUGGCUCACCAGACCCGUCACAUUAGAAGGGAUUGUGUUCUGUGGUUAUGCUGGCUCACAGCUGCAUUUCUGCUGCAUUGCUCCACUCAAGGACCACAUCCCAGCCUGGGGAGGCUCCUGGUGUCCCCACUUGACCCGGACAUCCAUCUCAGAGUCUUUCCUCUCUUUCCACCAACCUUGCCAAGCUCCAGGUAUAUUCACUUUACGAAGAGAGUCUGUAAAGCAAAUUGAAGACCAGAAACAAUCAGUCUCAGAGCCCAGCCUCUCCAUGAUGGUUUGGGGAAGAAUCCACCGGAAAAAAGAGGGUUUCUGCUUCAGAGAAUGGACUGAAUUUUGGCCACAGUACUGUUUUUAAACACAGCAUUUAAGCAGCUCUGAAAAGUAAUAGAAUGUCUUAAAAAUGAGAUGAUGUUGGUUCCACAAGUUCAGGAUAAAGAUGCCAGGUUGGCCUCUUGGAGUAACCCCACAAGAUUAUUCUCAGUUUACUGAAAGAAGAUGGAAUUUGGAUCAGCAAUGAUUAUAGAGUUUUGAGUGGCUGAUGACUGGAGGAAUUUCCACGGACCAGCUACUGCUUCCAUAAUUUCAAGCCUUGGUGACCCCCAAUUCCACUGCAUUUCCAGGGCUACAUUUUGCAGGGAACACUUACGUGCUGAGAGGCUUCCAUCUGUGUGCUUCCAUAUCCCAAUGUUGCAUGAGGUGGCACUUGGGCAGAGGACUAUUUCUACAACCAUUUCCACCCCACAAUGAAUAGCAAUGACUUAACUAUGUACAGAGGGCUGCCAUGCCAGUGCUAUUUUGGUGAUACACAACUGAAAUUACGUCCUGAAGCUUGACCCAAGCUGCCUGAUACUUUGAGGCCCUGGGCUUAUAGCUGCCUAAGGGAAACCGCAAGUCACCAAAGAGGAGAACGCUGCCCCUGCUGAACCUGCAGUCUGGAGCAAGAGCAAGCAUCAGAAGUCUUGUGUCCCAGGAAUCCCCGCAGACCUGAGAAAAACAGAAUGGUUGAUCACCUUAGACCCAGCACAAGUACAGUUGUCUGUCACAGGCAGAAUGAAGACUCUUCUUCACACGGAACUAAAAGGCACAGUCUGACGUUGUAGUCUGUGAAGAUGAGGCACCAUGACCAUCGAAGUGCCUAUCUCCGUAACUGCCCUUUUAUAACCCCUGCCUCAGCCAUCCUCCUGAUCUCCCAUCCAUAUUCUCAACAACACACUGAGCCUAACAGUCACUCAAAAGGAGGGAAAUGUGCCUGUUAGGCAGGGGAAAAAAGUACUUCAAAUCUGCACCAUCCAAGGUUUCCAGACAAAGUCCUCUCUUCGCCUAUCUACCUAUGCAUCUUCCUAGCAAUUGAUUGAUCAAUCAUUGAUAUAUAGAUCUAUAGAUCUACAAAGAGAUCUUUAUGGGAAUUGGUUCAUACAAUUAUGCCGGCUGAGAAGCCCCACAGUGUGUCACCUGCAAGCUGGAGGAGCAGGAGAGUGGCAGAGGACAUCAGUCUAAGGCCAAAGGCUGAGAAGCUGGGGAGCUAUGGAUGUGUCCCUGGAGUCCAAGGUCUGAGAGCCUGGAGCUCUGGUGUCCAGGAGAAAAUGGAUGUCUCAAGCAGACUGAAUUUGAGCUGUGGCCUUAGAAAGCUCACUGGAGAACAAAUGCCACCAGGCUAGGAGAAGAACCAAGGACAAGAUGAGUGACACUCGAUAGAUGACCUUUGACAAAUGCCCAACCUUUCUUCCUCGGUGCUUCCAUAUGCAAAGCUAAAGGGAGAUCUAUGGGAACUGAAAGAUUCCUCAUGCGUUCUAGAGCUCCAGCCCUUUCUGAGGAACCAUGUGAGAAGAGAACAGUUACAGGAAGACUAUCAGUAAAUGUCAGAAGUCUUUGGUAUGUGAUAUCAAGGAAAUGGCCAGGGGUAACAAAAAAUUCGGAUUAUAAAUAGGAUGGAACAAACCCCACAGCACUGAAGACCAGGCAACACCUCAAAAUUAUGCAACACAGGAAAUUUCACAGCUCAGAUAAGAAGCAAACCUCUCAUUGGAUGUUUUUAUAACUUAUAAAACAUUGUCACCUAGAACAAUAGCUUUCAGACUGAGAAGCACUUGAACAUAAUAAUGUCCCAUUUGAUCCUGACACAAUCUUGAGUGGCAGAAAGCAUUGGUUCUACUGUCCCUAUUUUAUGGCUGAGAAAACUGAGUUUCCAAGUAAUUAAGGUCAUGGACUCUUUUUUCCUAAAUCUCUACAAUUUCUAGAGACAGUGGGGUCAGUGGAGUUUUACUGCUGAGCAUCCAUGUCAGAAGUAGGAGCCCUGGGUGGAAGGUGGUGGGACCCAUGGAACACACUGUGCCCCACAGGCUGGAGUAGAGGCCUGUGGUUGUGGUUGGCCUGCUUGGGAAAGGGCAUCCCUUGGCAUCACCAAAGAGAUGGCACAGUAGAUUUGCAGGUAGCCUGCUGUCUGUGUGCUGACUCUGCUAGGACUGUGUCCUAAUCUAGUCUCUUUCUAAAUGUUCCAAUGCCAGGUUUUGGCCUGGGAGGCUGUGGGGUACAAAUAAUAGGGGAGUCUAUGAGGACUUGUGCUUUCUUGCUGUAUGCUGUUAUGUGCAGCUGGGUGUUACUGUACCAUUUUUUGUUGCUGUUCAGAGAUUUUUGUACCCUAUGCAUUAUUAUUUCAAAAAUAGACCUGUAAUAUAUUCUUGCAUGCUUGAAUUUAAUUAUGACCAUUUUCACUGAAAUGGAUGUGGUUUUUUUAUUUCUGGCCAGGCCAGAUGAGAAUCCCUAAAGAUAGAUUUUUGAGUGAUGUCUAAGCCAAUUUCUUUGAUCUUUUUAAUAUUUAUAACCAAGGAGCUCUUCUCUAGGAUGGUGAUUUAUGACUUUGACAUACUUUCCCUGGCAUUCUCUGGGCACAAGGAAACAUGUGGAACCUCACAGAAGUAACUGUUCUGAGGAAUCCAGGUGGAGCCACACUGCCUCCUCCAAUCUCACUAGCAUCCCAGCAGGAUUCGGAAAGGUCACAUGUUUAGAAUUCUAGGGCUGUCUUAGGAUCACCCAGAACCCUACAUAAUCAUUUCAUAACUUGGAGGUUGUGGCAGGAGUAAACCAUCCAUACUGUGGCCUGCUCCUGUCUUAUUUGACCGGUUCAGCUUCCAAGGACAUUGUGGGCUCUGUAUUUUGUGUCUCAGCAGGACUUAGAACAACAGCUCAUAUGCCAUUCUGUCCUGCAGUGUUUCUGUUUAGCAACACCUCAUCAUCGUAAUGCUGCUGCCUAAAGUACAAGAGAAGUUUCAGGAACACAAACAAUAGCAUAUCUGUGCCCUCUGUUUGCCUCACUGUGACUCCCUUACCAGCUGCACCUGAGCAGGCAGAGCCCAUGCCCUCUGCUCACCUGUGGGUACUCGCCCAACUGUGGGCUCGGACUUAAUCAUGCCACCAGAAGACCUUACCUCUUUGGUGUAUGCUGUGGUUAGGAAAAGGAUGCCUCUCUUUGGAUUUGGAGCUCACUGCAUUUAGGGUGGAAUGUUUGGGUAGCACUGAUGGUGGAUGAGACUGCAGUAUUCAUUCAUUCGUUUACAUCUCUCUCCAGUCUUCUCUGACAUAGAAACUGAGUGCCCAUACUAGGCAUCCAGUGGUCAGCAUAGAAGAUAAUAGUUCAGAGGAGAGCUUCUGGUUCUGUGGAACAGCUCAAGGAACUUCAUCUAUUUCAUCUUCAGUGGGUUAGUGACUGCCAACAGCCUGUUGCUGUUCAAGGGUCCUCACUAAAUUUAGGAAGCUCUGGCCCUGUCCCCUCUUCUCUUUGGAGCCUGGACCUGGGUGGCCUUGAGUGAAGAGCAAGACCCUCCCAGAACCACUGUUCAUGCUCCCUGGCUAAGUAUUACACAUGGGAGGAGCUUGGGCGUGGAGCACUCUGAAGGCUGUGUCACCCUGCACUCCAGCCACAGAGGUUUCAUCACCAAAGGAAAGCUGAGCUGUGAGCUUGUUGCUAGGCGGUGCUGUUUAUUUUUAUAAACAAGCCUUGUGCUUAAUUUAGAAUUCUGCUUUUGCUUUUUCUU
Molecule: long non-coding RNA, 4193 nt
Organism: Chinchilla lanigera (long-tailed chinchilla)
Lineage: Eukaryota; Metazoa; Chordata; Mammalia; Rodentia; Chinchillidae
Exons: 9
Source: RefSeq, a predicted model, not a curated record